GAUGAAGAACGCAGCGAAAUGCGAUAAGUAAUGUGAAUUGCAGAAUUCAGUGAAUCAUCGAGUCUUUGAUCGCACAUUGCGCCCCCUGGUAUUCCGGGGGGCAUGCCUGUCCGAGCGUCAUUGCUGCCCUCAAGCACGGCUUGUGUGUUGGGCCCCCGUCCCCGGUUCUCCCCGGGGACGGGCCCGAAAGGCAGCGGCGGCACCGCGUCCGAUCCUCGAGCGUAUGGGGCUUUGUCACCCGCUCUGUAGGCCCGGCCGGCGCCAGCCGACACCCCAACUUUAUUUUCUAAGGUUGACCUCGGAUCAGGUAGGGAUACCCGCUGAACUUAAGCAUAUCAAUAAGCGGAGGA
Molecule: unclassified non-coding RNA, 350 nt
Filed under: soil metagenome
Description: partial contains 5.8S ribosomal RNA, internal transcribed spacer 2, and large subunit ribosomal RNA
Rfam family: 5.8S ribosomal RNA (bases 1-120)
Source: RNAcentral